GAUGAACGCUGGCGGCGUGCCUAAUACAUGCAAGUCGAGCGAACAGACGAGGAGCUUGCUCCUCUGACGUUAGCGGCGGACGGGUGAGUAACACGUGGAUAACCUACCUAUAAGACUGGGAUAACUUCGGGAAACCGGAGCUAAUACCGGAUAAUAUAUUGAACCGCAUGGUUCAAUAGUGAAAGACGGUUUUGCUGUCACUUAUAGAUGGAUCCGCGCCGCAUUAGCUAGUUGGUAAGGUAACGGCUUACCAAGGCGACGAUGCGUAGCCGACCUGAGAGAGUGAUCGGCCACACUGGAACUGAGACACGGUCCAGACUCCUACGGGAGGCAGCAGUAGGGAAUCUUCCGCAAUGGGCGAAAGCCUGACGGAGCAACGCCGCGUGAGUGAUGAAGGUCUUCGGAUCGUAAAACUCUGUUAUGAGGGAAGAACAAAUGUGUAAGUAACUAUGCACGUCUUGACGGUACCUAAUCAGAAAGCCACGGCUAACUACGUG
This 497-nucleotide ribosomal RNA is filed under the name uncultured bacterium. RNAcentral describes it as "partial 16S ribosomal RNA". It matches the Rfam family "Bacterial small subunit ribosomal RNA", at positions 28 to 507 of the family's 1533-position model. The record is from RNAcentral.